Molecule: ribosomal RNA, 269 nt
Filed under: uncultured prokaryote
Description: partial 16S ribosomal RNA
Rfam family: Bacterial small subunit ribosomal RNA
Source: RNAcentral
UACGGAGGAUCCGAGCGUUAUCCGGAUUUAUUGGGUUUAAAGGGUGCGCAGGCGGGGAGAUUAAGUCGGCGGUGAAAUUUUGCAGCUCAACUGUAAAAGUGCCUUCGAUUACUGGUUUCCUUGAGUGUGGAUGAAGUAGGCGGAAUUUGUGGUGUAGCGGUGAAAUGCAUAGAUAUCACGAGGAACUCCGAUUGCGCAGGCAGCUUACUAAACCAUAACUGACGCUCAGGCACGAAGGCGUGGGGAUCAAACAGGAUUAGAUACCCCCU